RNAcentral lists this ribosomal RNA (257 nucleotides) under uncultured bacterium. Its description in RNAcentral is "partial 16S ribosomal RNA". It matches the Rfam family "Bacterial small subunit ribosomal RNA", at positions 521 to 776 of the family's 1533-position model. The record is from RNAcentral.
UCAUACGGAGGAUCCAAGCGUUAUCCGGAAUUACUGGGCGUAAAGAGUUGCGUAGGUGGCAUAGUAAGUAGGUAGUGAAAGCGUGUGGCUCAACCAUACUCACAUUAUCUAAACUGCUAAGCUAGAAUAUAGAAGAGGUAGCUGGAAUUCCAAGUGUAGGAGUGAAAUCCGUAGAUAUUUGGAGGAACACCAAUGGCGUAGGCAGGCUACUGGUCUAUUAUUGACACUAAGGCACGAAAGCGUGGGGAGCAAACGGG